Molecule: ribosomal RNA, 1188 nt
Filed under: Triticum aestivum (bread wheat)
Lineage: Eukaryota; Viridiplantae; Streptophyta; Magnoliopsida; Poales; Poaceae
Description: partial small subunit ribosomal RNA
Source: RNAcentral
AUGACAGGAGAUAAUGGGGAAAUUAUGCGAGUGGUGCAGCCAAAGGUGACGUCAGAGAUGAAUGACACGCUAUGUGUUGAAUAUACAGAAGAGGAGGUGAAAAGAGCCUUAGAUAGCAUCGGUGACUUAAAAGCUCCAGGACCUGAUGGUAUGCCAGCCAUUUUCUUUAAAAGGUUUUGGAAAACAGUGGGGAACCAGAUCACUAAAGAAGUUCUGCAUAUAUUGAGAGGAGGAGAUAUGCCUGAAGGAUGGAAUGAUACCCUAAUAGUGCUUAUUCCGAAGAACACCAAGCCAAUGAGCUUAAAGGAUCUAAGACCUAUAAGUUUGUGCAAUGUGGUAUAUAAGGUGGUCUCUAAGGCAAUCACAAAUAGACUCAAGGAAAUUCUCCCCCACAUUGUCUCCCCUAAUCAGAGUGCCUUUGUACCCGGAAGACUAAUUUCAGAUAAUAUUCUAUUGGCAUAUGAACUAACACAUUUCCUACAAAGGAAAAGAAGGGGUCCCGUGGGCUAUGCGGCCAUCAAACUGGACAUGAGCAAAGCUUACGACCGCGUUGAAUGGAAAUUUUUAGAAGAUAUGAUGAAAAGAUUGGGUUUUGAUAGGAAUUGGAUCAGACUGAUAAUGAAGUGUGUCUCAACUGUCAAGUACCAAAUCAAGGUGAACCAAGAUACAACUGAUAUGAUUACACCCCAAAGAGGACUGCGCCAAGGAGAUCCACUUUCCCCUUAUUUGUUCGUCAUCUGUGCUGAGGGGUUCUCCUCUAUGUUAUAUGAAGCUGAGAUGAGGAGAUCACUAAAAGGAAUCAAGGUAUGUAGGGGAGCCCCUAGUGUAAGCCAUCUAUUCUUUGCGGAUGAUUCAUUACUUCUAUUGGAGGCCAAUGCUGAAAGUGCUCAGGAAAUUAAUAGAAUUCUAAAUCUUUAUGAAGCUGCUUCAGGACAAGUGAUUAAUAAAGAUAAAUCCUCAAUACUAUUCAGUGCAAACACAAGGCAAGGGUUGAAGGAAAAAAUGAAAAGCAUUCUGCAAGUUACCUCUCAAGGUCUAUUCCCAAGAUAUCUUGGUGUUCCAUCCUAUGUGGGUAAGGCCAAAGCAAGAACCUUUGAGUAUGUAAAAGAGAGGGUGUGGAAAAGAUCCAAGGAUGGAAGGAAAAACUCCUAUCGAAAGGUGGAAAAGAAAUCCUCAUUAAAGCGGUAG